This 253-nucleotide ribosomal RNA is filed under the name uncultured bacterium. RNAcentral's name for it is "partial 16S ribosomal RNA". It matches the Rfam family "Bacterial small subunit ribosomal RNA", at positions 524 to 776 of the family's 1533-position model. The record is from RNAcentral.
UACGUAGGCAGCAAGCGUUGUUCGGAGUUACUGGGCGUAAAGGGCGCGUAGGCGGCCUUCUAAGUCAGACGUGAAAUCCCCCGGCUUAACCUGGGAACUGCGUCUGAUACUGGGAGGCUAGAGUGCGGGAGAGGGAUGCGGAAUUCCAGGUGUAGCGGUGAAAUGCGUAGAUAUCUGGAGGAACACCGGUGGCGAAGGCGGCAUCCUGGACCGACACUGACGCUGAGGCGCGAAAGCUAGGGUAGCAAACGGG